AGCUUUAGGAAAAGAUCUAAGGUUAAACCUGCCCAAUGUAAAAUAUUAAUGGCCGCGGUACUUUGACCGUGCUAAGGUAGCGUAAUCAGUUGGCUUUUAAUUGGGGUCAGGAAUGAAUGGAAUUUCGUAGUUUUUCUGUCUCCUAAAUAAUUAUUCGAAAUUACUGUGUAGGUGAAAAAGCCUUCAAUCAGAAAAAAGACGAGAAGACCCUUAGAGUUUUACUAAAGGUAAAAUAAUUAAUAGAUUGUCAUUACUUCAGUUUAGUUGGGGCAACAUAGGAGAAAAUGGAGUAUUACAAAUUUAUAACCUCCUAAAUUAAAUAAAUCGAUAUUUAUAAAUUUGUAUAAACUACCUUAGGGAUAACAGCAUUAUUUUAUAAAUAAGUUUGUGACCUCGAUGUUGGACUGGGAACCUAAAAGGCUAGCCGUUUUUUAGUAAGGUUCUGUUCGAACUAUUAUAUUCCC
This 464-nucleotide ribosomal RNA is filed under the name Thorunna halourga. Its description in RNAcentral is "partial 16S ribosomal RNA". It matches the Rfam family "Archaeal large subunit ribosomal RNA", at positions 1909 to 2666 of the family's 2987-position model. The record is from RNAcentral. Lineage: Eukaryota; Metazoa; Mollusca; Gastropoda; Nudibranchia; Chromodorididae.